Molecule: ribosomal RNA, 434 nt
Filed under: uncultured Lachnospiraceae bacterium
Lineage: Bacteria; Bacillati; Bacillota; Clostridia; Lachnospirales; Lachnospiraceae
Description: partial 16S ribosomal RNA
Rfam family: Bacterial small subunit ribosomal RNA
Source: RNAcentral
ACGGAAGGCAGCAGUGGGGGAUAUUGCACAAUGGGGGAAACCCUGAUGCAGCGACGCCGCGUGAGUGAUGAAGUAUUUCGGUAUGUAAAGCUCUAUCAGCAGGGAAGAAAAUGACGGUACCUGACUAAGAAGCACCGGCUAAAUACGUGCCAGCAGCCGCGGUAAUACGUAUGGUGCAAGCGUUAUCCGGAUUUACUGGGUGUAAAGGGAGCGCAGACGGCAUGGCAAGCCAGAUGUGAAAUGCGGGGGCUCAACCCCUGAACUGCAUUUGGAACUGUCAAGCUAGAGUAUCGGAGAGGUAAGUGGAAUUCCUAGUGUAGCGGUGAAAUGCGUAGAUAUUAGGAGGAACACCAGUGGCGAAGGCGGCUUGCUGGGCUUUUACUGACGCUGAGGCUCGAAAGUGUGGGGAGCAAACAGGAUUAGAUACCCUGGUA